UAGUUUGAUCCUGGCUCAGAACGAACGAAAAAAUUGCGUCUUAAGCAUGCAAGUCGAACGGUAAGGGAGAGCUUGCUUCUCCCCUAGAGUGGCGGACUGGUGAGUAACGCGUGGGUGACCUGCCCUGAAGAUGGGGAUAGCUAGUAGAAAUAUUACAUAAUACCGAAUGUGCUCAUUUACAUAAAGGUAAAUGAGGAAAGGAGCUACGGCUCCGCUUCAGGAUGGGCCCGCGUCCCAUUAGCUAGUUGGUGAGGUAAAGGCCCACCAAGGCAACGAUGGGUAUCCGGCCUGAGAGGGUGAACGGACACAUUGGGACUGAGAUACGGCCCAAACUCCUACGGGAGGCAGCAGCUAAUAAUCUUCCGCAAUGGACGAAAGUCUGACGGAGCGACGCCGUGUGAAUGAAGAAGGCCGAAAGGUUGUAAAAUUCUUUUGCAGAUGAAGAAUAAGAAGAAGAGGGAAUGCUUCUUUGAUGACGGUAGUCAUGCGAAUAAGCCCCGGCUAAUUACGUGCCAGCAGCCGCGGUAACACGUAAGUGGCGAGCGUUGUUCGGAAUUAUUGGGCGUAAAGGG
RNAcentral lists this ribosomal RNA (572 nucleotides) under uncultured bacterium. RNAcentral describes it as "bacterial SSU rRNA". It matches the Rfam family "Bacterial small subunit ribosomal RNA", at positions 9 to 567 of the family's 1533-position model. The record is from RNAcentral.